Molecule: ribosomal RNA, 468 nt
Filed under: uncultured bacterium
Lineage: Bacteria
Description: partial 16S ribosomal RNA
Rfam family: Bacterial small subunit ribosomal RNA
Source: RNAcentral
GACGAACGCUGGCGGCGUGCUUAACACAUGCAAGUCGAACGGAAAGGCCCUGCUUUUGUGGGGUGCUCGAGUGGCGACCGGGUGAGUAACACGUGAGUAACCUGCCCUUGACUUUGGGAUAACUUCAGGAAACUGGGGCUAAUACCGGAUAGGAGCUCCUGCUGCAUGGUGGGGGUUGGAAAGUUUCGGCGGUUGGGGAUGGACUCGCGGCUUAUCAGCUUGUUGGUGGGGUAGUGGCUUACCAAGGCUUGGACGGGUAGCCGGCCUGAGAGGGGGACCGGCCACAUUGGGACGGAGAUACGGCCCAGACUCCAACGGGACGCAGCGGAGGGGAAUAUUGCACAAGGGGCGGAAGCCUGAUGCAGCAACGCCGCGCGGGGGAUGACGGCCAUCGGGUAGUAAACCGCUUUCGCCUGUGACGAAGCGUGAGUGACGGUAAUGGGUAAAGAAGCACCGGCUAACUACGUG